UUCCCAUUACUGUGGGAUAACCUGCCGAAAGGCAGACUAAUACCGCAUAGUCUUCGAUGACGGCAUCAGAUUUGAAGUAAAGNUUUAUCGGUAAUGGAUGGGGAUGCGUCUGAUUAGCUUGUUGGCGGGGUAACGGCCCACCAAGGCGACGAUCAGUAGGGGUUCUGAGAGGAAGGUCCCCCACAUUGGAACUGAGACACGGUCCAAACUCCUACGGGAGGCAGCAGCC
This 229-nucleotide ribosomal RNA is filed under the name uncultured Prevotella sp. RNAcentral's name for it is "partial 16S ribosomal RNA". It matches the Rfam family "Bacterial small subunit ribosomal RNA", at positions 127 to 355 of the family's 1533-position model. The record is from RNAcentral. Lineage: Bacteria; Pseudomonadati; Bacteroidota; Bacteroidia; Bacteroidales; Prevotellaceae.